This 498-nucleotide long non-coding RNA is filed under the name Homo sapiens (human). Its description in RNAcentral is "HSALNT0334237". The record is from RNAcentral. Lineage: Eukaryota; Metazoa; Chordata; Mammalia; Primates; Hominidae.
GGUUGCAGGAGCCCUGCUUCAGCCAGCUCAGGAGGAAAGUGAUCCAGAGAGAGGCCAUGUAAAGAGGGAAAUGUCCUCGCACUCAAACACAACCACCACGCAGCGCAGUUCCAUAGCCCCGCGGAGAGACAGGACAUUUUUCUGGAGCUGCUGGAGAGAACAGUCAGAGAAGCCUGGGGAGGAAGAGUUGAUGCCUUCUGGAGUUUCUUGUGGCGGGUGGUGGGUGGUGGGGGGAGCCCUUUCCGGGUGUCAACUUUUUCUUUCCUCUCUUCCCCCAGCUCCUGUUUUCAUCCUUACCAAUGAGAAUUCAGCUAAUUGUUUACUCCAGGCUUGUGCCUGUCACCAACUAACCCAGGAGGCCCUCAGAGCCAAGCCCUGCCCUUUGCCUCAUUCUUUGUAACUGGACACCUGCAAGAGUGCUGGGCACACAGUAGGUGCUCCAUAAAUGCUACUCAAAUGGAUAAGUAGGAUAAAUAAAUGCAGAGUUUGGUAGUUCAA